GCCGGAGUGGUGGAAUGGCAGACACGAUGCUCUCAAAAGGCAUUGUCCGAAAGGGCGUGCGGGUUCAAGUCCCGCCUCCGGCACCA
This 86-nucleotide transfer RNA is filed under the name Rhizocola hellebori. RNAcentral's name for it is "tRNA-Leu". It matches the Rfam family "tRNA". Rfam says of the family: Transfer RNA (tRNA) molecules are approximately 80 nucleotides in length. Their secondary structure includes four short double-helical elements and three loops (D, anti-codon, and T loops). Further hydrogen bonds mediate the characteristic L-shaped molecular structure. tRNAs have two regions of fundamental functional importance: the anti-codon, which is responsible for specific mRNA codon recognition, and the 3' end, to which the tRNAs corresponding amino acid is attached (by aminoacyl-tRNA synthetases). tRNAs cope with the degeneracy of the genetic code in two manners: having more than one tRNA (with a specific anti-codon) for a particular amino acid; and 'wobble' base-pairing, i.e. permitting non-standard base-pairing at the 3rd anti-codon position. The record is from RNAcentral. Lineage: Bacteria; Bacillati; Actinomycetota; Actinomycetes; Micromonosporales; Micromonosporaceae.